RNAcentral lists this small nuclear RNA (146 nucleotides) under Microtus ochrogaster (prairie vole). RNAcentral's name for it is "U1 spliceosomal RNA (ENSMOCG00000005342.1)". It matches the Rfam family "U1 spliceosomal RNA". Rfam says of the family: U1 is a small nuclear RNA (snRNA) component of the spliceosome (involved in pre-mRNA splicing). Lineage: Eukaryota; Metazoa; Chordata; Mammalia; Rodentia; Cricetidae. The record is from RNAcentral.
AUACUUAGCUGGCAGGGGAGAUACCAUGAUCACAAAGAUGGUUUUCCAUCAUACUCCGGAUAUGCUAACCCCUGCGAUUUCCCCAAAUGCAGGAAGCUCGACCGCAUAAUGUGUGGUAGUGGGGACUGCAUUCGAGCUCUCCCCUA